CCCAGUGGAGCGGAAGGCCGAACCAUCACCAAACCCCAAGCCCGACCGCCCACCUCGCCGGCGCCGGCGAUCGGCCGCCGCCCCCGCCGCCGCAGUAAUCCCUGCCGUAUCCGUACAUUCUACGUGCGGCUCUGGGUCUCUGAUGCGUUCCACCCCAUGGCAUCCCACAUUCCCCUUCCCUGCCGCCGGCUUCCUCCUCCUCGCGCUCUUCGCCGUCGCAUCGGGGGGUCCGGCUCCUAGACCAUGGGGUUUCAAUCGGGGGGAGGCGGACGGCGCGGAGGCGUACUCGAUCCUCACGUUCCACGACUACACGCCGCCCCCGCCCCCCGCGCUGCCGCCGCCGCCGGCCGCCCCGGCGGCGACCUGUGCCGGGGACCUCCGCGGCGUCGGCGACCUCAACACCCAGUGCGUCGUCCAGAAAUCGGUGACGCUGGGAGGCGGGGUGUACAUCAGCGGCAACGGCAGCCUCGUAAUCCUCGGCGGCGUCGCGGUCACCUGCGAGAGGCCCGGGUGCGUCGUCUCUGCCAACCUCUCCGGCGGCAUCCUCCUGGGGCACGGGGCCCGCGUCAGUGCCGGGUGGGUUUCCUUUGCGGCGGCCAACAUCACGCUCGGCGACGACGCCGUCGUCAACACCACCGCGCUCGCCGGCAACCCGCCGGACCAGACCAGCGGUGUGCCCACCGGGACGUAUGGGGAUGGCGGUGGACACGGCGGCCGUGGCGCCAGCUGCUUCGUUAAGGAGGGGCAGGCGCAGGAGGACUCAUGGGGCGGUGAUACCUACGCGUGGUCUGCACUCAAGACCCCAAAUAGCUACGGCAGCAAAGGGGGAUCGACUACCGUCGAGAAGGACUAUGGUGGCGGAGGCGGUGGUGUAGUGUGGUUGUUUGCCAAGGAAAUUUUGUUGAAUGGAACAAUUCUUGCUGAUGGUGGAGAUGGAAGCACCAAGGGUGGGGGUGGCUCUGGGGGCAGCAUCUAUCUGAAGGCCACAACAAUGCGAGGAGGUGGCAAAAUAAGUGCUUGUGGAGGCAAUGGUUUAGCUGGCGGAGGUGGAGGACGUGUCUCCAUUGAUGUUUUCAGCAGGCAUGAUGAUGCCCAAACUUUUGUUCAUGGGGGGAAGAGUUCAGGAUGCUUGGACAAUGCAGGAGCAGCUGGAACUCUUUAUGAAGAAGUACCUAAGAGUAUUACUGUUAGCAAUGAUAACUUGAGCACACAAACUGAUACAGUUUUUCUAGAUCCCCCAUAUGAGCCACUCUGGACGAAUAUUCUUAUCAGAAAUCGUGCCAAAGUUUCUCUUCCCUUACGCUGGAGUCGUAUUCAGGCUCAAGGACAGAUUCUUUUAGCUGGUGCCACUCUAACUUUUGGCCUGACACAUUAUCCGUAUUCCGAAUUUGAGCUGUUGGCUGAAGAACUUCUUAUGAGUGAUUCUACAAUCAAGGUCUUUGGCGCUUUACGAAUGUCAGUAAAAAUGCUCCUUAUGUGGAACUCGAGAAUGACUAUUGAUGGUGGCAGAGAAUCAGGAGUAGCGACUUCCCUACUAGAAGGUAGCAAUUUGAUAGUCCUGAAGGAAGCAUCCGUGAUACAUUCAAAUGCUAAUCUUGGGAUUCAUGGUCAAGGCGUUCUAAAUUUAUCUGGUCAAGGAGAUACUAUAGAGGCACAACGCCUUAUAUUAUCGCUGUUUUACAACAUAUUGGUUGGACCUGGAGCUGUUCUAAGGGGACCUCUUAUAAAUGGAAGUAGUGGCGACAUGGCACCAAAGCUGAACUGUGAAGAUGAGAGUUGCCCUAUGGAAAUUUUUCAUCCACCUGAGGAUUGCAACUUGAACUCUUCAUUGUCUUUUACUUUACAGAUAUGCCGCGUUGAAGAUAUUGAUGUUUCCGGCCUUGUGCAAGGAACUGUCAUUAAUUUUAACCGAGCAAGAAGUGUCACUGUGGAGACAUCUGGGACCAUAAGUGCAACAGGAUUAGGUUGCCAGGGUGGAAUUGGACAGGGGAAAGCUAUAAGCAGUGGGAUUAGUGGUGGGGGUGGGCAUGGCGGUAAAGGCGGUGAUGGCAGUUAUAGUGGCGAUCAUGCAGAGGGUGGACCUGCAUAUGGUCAUGCUGAUUUACCUUGUGAACUUGGCAGUGGCAGCGGCAAUGUCAGUGCAUCUUCAACAGCUGGUGGUGGUAUAAUAGUGAUGGGUUCUUUGGAGCAAUCUCUGCCUAUCCUCUCCCUUUCUGGCUCAAUUGAGGCAAAUGGUGGUAGUUUUAAUGGUGUGGCAUCUCAUGCCACAAUUGGAGGACCAGGUGGUGGUUCUGGGGGUACAAUUCUUCUUUUUGUGCGGACUUUACUCCUAAAGAAGGACUCUGUACUCUCUAGUGUUGGUGGGAUUGGAAGCAAUGGCAGUGGUGGAGGUGGAGGGGGUCGGAUUCACUUUCACUGGUCCGAUAUUCCCACUGGAGAUGAUUAUGUUCCUUUUGCAACAGUUAAGGGAACAAUAAUUACAAGAGGAGGAGUCAGUGAAGGCCAUGGUUUUCCUGGUGAGAAUGGAACAGUCACAGGAAAGGAUUGCCCAAAAGGUCUUUAUGGAACAUUUUGCAAGGAAUGUCCUUCAGGAACAUAUAAGAACAUUACUGGAUCAUCUAAGUCCUUGUGCUCACCAUGCCCUCCAAAUGAGCUACCUCACCGUGCUGUAUACAUAAGCAUCCGAGGAGGUGUUGCUGAAACCCCAUGCCCAUACAAAUGUGUGUCAGAUAGAUAUCACAUGCCUCACUGUUUUACUGCUCUUGAAGAGCUGAUAUAUACAUUUGGUGGACCUUGGUUGUUUGGCCUGCUUCUUUCUGGACUUCUUGUUUUGUUAGCUCUUGUUUUGAGUAUUGCUCGGAUGAAGUUUGUUGGUAAUGAUGAGUUACCUGGGCCAGCACCGACUCAGCACAGCUCCCAAAUUGAUCACUCUUUUCCCUUCCUUGAAUCACUAAACGAGGUAUUGGAAACAAACAGAGCAGAAGAAUCUCACUGUCAUGUGCACAGGAUGUAUUUCAUGGGUCCAAACACCUUCAGUGAACCUUGGCAUCUCCCACACACCCCACCAGAGCAAAUUUCAGAGAUUGUGUAUGAGGAUGCAUUUAACAAAUUUGUUGAUGAGAUAAAUGCUCUUGCAGCCUAUCAAUGGUGGGAGGGUUCAAUUUAUAGUAUUCUCUGUAUACUUUCAUAUCCCAUGGCAUGGUCCUGGCAACAGUGGCGCAGGAGAAUGAAAUUACAAAAACUACGUGAAUUUGUUCGAUCUGAAUACGAUCAUUCAUGCUUGCGGUCCUGUCGUUCACGGGCACUUUAUGAAGGGCUGAAGGUAGCUGCUACUCCAGAUUUAAUGCUGGGUUAUUUAGAUUUCUUCCUUGGUGGGGAUGAGAAAAGGACUGAUCUUCCCCCUCGACUUCAUCAAAGGUUUCCAAUGUCCCUUAUCUUUGGAGGUGAUGGAAGUUAUAUGGCUCCAUUUUCACUUCAUAGUGACAGAGUGGUUACAAGUCUUAUAAGUCAGGCUGUACCAUCGUCAAUAUGGCAUCGUCUUGUAGCCGGAUUGAAUGCCCAGUUGCGUUUGGUUCGUCGUGGAAAUAUAAAUGCAACAUUUCUUCCUGUACUCAAAUGGCUUGAAACUCAUGCAAAUCCUGCGUUGAACGCUUACCGGGUGCGUGUUGACCUUGCAUGGUUCCAAACUACAGCAUUAGGUUACUGUCAGUUUGGUCUUGUUCUUCAUGCUCUGGGGGAAGAGGUGGCUGCUGAACUUCAAGGUGGCUCUUUAAUUAAAACCGAUCAGCAUUCAGUAAGCCAGAAUACAUAUGAUGAUUCUCGAUUGGGACACUCAAUGUCCAGCGAUGCUCUUUUGCGUAAAAGGAUAACUGGCACCAUUCUCAAUGUUGAAAACUUAAAGAUGCUCAAAGACAGGAGAGAUUUGUUUUAUCCUCUCUCUCUUAUCUUGCACAAUACAAAACCAGUUGGACAUCAGGACCUCGUUGGCCUAGUCAUCUCAAUAUUGCUUCUUGCAGAUUUCAGCUUAAUCUUGCUAACUUUCCUCCAACUAUAUUCAUAUUCUAUGGUUGAUGUUUUGUUAGUCUUGUUUAUUCUUCCUCUUGGGAUACUGGCACCGUUUCCUGCUGGGAUAAAUGCUCUUUUUAGUCAUGGACCGCGGCGGUCAGCUGGCCUUGCUCGUGUGUAUGCCUUGUGGAAUAUUACAUCACUGGCUAAUGUUAUCGUGGCUUUUGUAUGUGGAAUUCUGCAUUAUAAGUCAUCAAACAAGAAACAUCCAAGCAUGCAGCCAUGGAAUUUUGGCGGGGAUGAAACCAGCUGGUGGCUAUUCCCAAUAGGACUUGUGCUAUGCAAAUGCAUUCAAGCUAGGCUUGUGGAUUGGCAUGUAUCUAUCUUAGAGAUCCAGGACCGUGCAGUUUAUAGCAAUAACCCAACAAUAUUUUGGCAGUGACAGCAUUUUGGAUCACAGAAGUGGCUCAGGAUGGGAGCUUCACAACUCAAGUUUUUUGGGAGUUGAUAAAAAGAAGGCUAGGGAGAGUCCGUUCUUUGUCGGCCAGUCAGGGGAAGCAUGUACAAAGUAGAAUGCUUACAGAUGCCUGCCAUUGACUUAUAGUGCAUCCUUGACCUUUUGUCCAGUCGAGACCCAACUUUGUUUACCUUGUACAUAGGAAAAGGGUUUAGUUGAUCCAUUCAUUGUAUGAUUUAGGAUUUAGACACCACAGGAUUAUAUAUUUACCUAAGCUAAUCUCCAAUAGAUAGUGGGAAAUAUCUCUCCUUUUUUUUUGUUGAAAGCGCUCUCGGGGUCGUUUACAUAACUGUCAGGUUGGCGCGCUAUGCGCGCCAAUAUCAAAAAGUUGAUCUAAAA
Panicum virgatum (switchgrass) is the source of this 4861-nucleotide RNA transcript. RefSeq lists it as uncharacterized. The transcript has 22 exons. The record is from RefSeq and is a predicted model, not a curated record. NCBI's taxonomy places the organism in Eukaryota, Viridiplantae, Streptophyta, Magnoliopsida, Poales, Poaceae.